RNAcentral lists this long non-coding RNA (3226 nucleotides) under Marmota monax (woodchuck). Lineage: Eukaryota; Metazoa; Chordata; Mammalia; Rodentia; Sciuridae. The record is from RNAcentral.
AUAAAUCUUACACCAUGUUCUGAGUAUUUCCCUCUCAGGUGGCAUCUCUUUGGAGUCUGGCUCAGGUCACCCAGCCACUCUGUGACUUUCCCUUCUACCUCCUGGUCAGCAAGAGAUGGAUCCUGGCUAAUUUCCCAGAGAAAAGUGUUAUCAUUAGAAUUUGUUGUACCAUCGCAUCUAGUAAACUUUCUUUGCCCAAUUUAUUUCAUCCUUGCCUAAAGCUAAAAUAUUUUGUUAAAAAAAAAAGAGUGAACAUUUUUGCCUUUUUCUGCAGUUGGAGGAACACUGAAUUUCACACUCUGCAUUUGCAAAUGAAGUCAUUAUAGAAAGAGUAAACCUCUAUUAGUUGUGGGUGGCUUGUUAGUACCUAACUAGUUGUCUAGGCUGGGGGCAAGUGUGAAUUUCAUUAAUUUCUCUGUGCUUUGGGAUUUGGCUUGAACUCAGUGGUCCUUCUCGAAUGAACUCUUGUAAAAGCUUUAAUUAACUCUUGCCAGUGUCAAUUUGUUUUGUUGUUUUCCACAGCCUGCAGACUUCCCCUGGUGACCAAUUUACUUGGAUGUUUCCAGGCUGUCAAAGGAAGGCUGGCACCGUGCUGUCACAUAGGUGUGGUUGCUUUAUGGGCUCUGGCUCAAGGCAAUUCCUCUCCAUCAGAAGAGAUGUGGACUGCUCUUUCAUGGGGAGAACCCCAAAAUUUCCAUCAGAACCUGCUGUAUCAGAAAUGAAGGGACUGAGCUUGGAGAUACAAUAUUGGCUGUGGCUUUGAGGGCCCAGAUAUGGACUCUGCAGACCCCAGAUCACUGCUUGGAAGCUGUGGGGACUGAGCAGGAAUGCUGCCCCAGAGAGGGCAGCCCAGGGCAUAUUCAUGGGCCACUAAUGGAUAUUGGGCUGCUGACUCCCAUUGUUGGGCCAGGGUCUGUGUCUGCCUGAACUCAUGGGGUUGGAGCAAGAAAAGAGAUUUUCUGUCUUGUGCCUCCAUCCAUCGCAGGGAGAAAACACUUCACCCUGCAACCCUUCCACAGGUCACCUGUUUGCAUUCCUACUUCUCUGUCUCCCUGUUUGAAGUCACCAGCUUCAAGAACCAGGGAGAACCAGGGGCUGGUAGGUAAAUACCCCCUCCUUUCUGCAGGACACUCUGAGGGUCACCCUCCAUGAUAUCAGAGCCUCCUUCAGGAUGGAGUCAGUGGCCCGUGGAGUCAUCUCCCCACCAAAGACCUUUCCUUCUGGUCUUUGGGAACAAAGAAAGAUAAAGGUUUUGGGGUGGAAUAGGGGUAAGGCAUGGAGGGACCUAAGGCUCUGGAGAAAAUGAGAAAGAGAAAGAGAAAUUCAUUAAAUCCAAACUUGUGCACAUAGUAUUCAAAAUCUAGGUCAUAACUCUGGCCAGGGAAGCACCCGGGGCCAGGAAGCAUCUGGGGCCAGGAAGCACCUGGCAGGUAGUCACUGCACAGAGGAAUGAAAUGGCAGCUCCAAAAGGCUGAAGGGUCCAGGUCUGUAGGCGGGUGCACCUUGGCUCACCCUGGCUUCCCUUUAACUCUGAAUCCAAAUGGAUUCAAAUGUGGCCUUUGAGGCUAGCUUGUUUCCAGUGAGAUAAAAUUUAGAUACAGUGAAAUCUACACUGUGAAUAAAAGAUCCCAGGAGUACAUUGGUUCAUUCAUUAAGGCCGUGGAUAGAGCUCUAAUUCCUUCUUUUGUAUUGCUGCAUAAUAUUUCACAGAAUGAUAAUAGCAUACUUUAUUUAUUUAACCAUUUCUCUUUUUAAAGAUUUGUCUCUGUUUAUUUUGUUGGGUAUUCAGGUUCUUCCCAGUUUCUUGCUGUCUCAAGCUAUGCUGAAAGCUAGCCUGCCUGUGAGCCACACUCACAGAUCUUUGAAUUCUGUUACUUGAUUCCCUGUGGGAUAAAUUCCCAGUGUGAGUGGGUUGGAGUGUGUGCAUUUUGAAACUCAAAGGCUGUUGAGAUUUCUUCCCCCCAGGCUGUAGGACUUCAUGGUUCCAGCCCACCAUAGAUAACCCAGAGUAUCUGUCCCGAGUAUUUCUUGGCCCUGGUGUCCUCAUUAGCUUAUUUUUUUCAGCCUGAUGGUGGUAAAAGUCUUACAUAUCUUUUCCUGUUAACUCAUUUAAAAAACUAAUUUGUAAAAUUGUCUACAUGAUUUUUUUUUCUGCCUAGAAAUAUGUUUUUUUCCUUCAAUAAAACCCAGCCUCGCUUUAUUCUGUACAGCAUUCUUGCUUGCUCUUUACCUUGCCAUUUCUUGAAGGAUGUGUUUCAAGCAUUUGUCAAGCAAUUUCCUGGUAGAUCCUGGCUUCCCACUUGUUAUUUUUAAUAUUUUCAGUGAAUUCUGACUCUUUCCACAUGUAUUUUCCUCACAUCUUCAGGCCCUGUUUGGAAGUGCUGUGAGCUCUGCUUGCGAAUUCCCUGGGAGGUCAGAGCAUCAGGUGGGUUUCUAGACAAGAUUUCCAUCCCAGCUUACUUCAGGGGAAUCUCUUCAUUUUGUAUCUGUGUCCAGUGUUCUGAACAUGGUUUAUUUUACAGAACAGAGCUGUUAUGUAUUGAAUAUGAGGUGUCUCCCCAAAGCUCCUGUGUUAAUGUGGGAAUGUUUGCAGGUGAAAUGGUUGGAUUCAGAGAGCUGUAACUUAGUCCAUCCUAGUUUGAGUGACUGACUCGGUGGUAGGUAGGUGGUGGGGCAUGGCUUGAGGUGGUGUGCCCUGGAAGCUUCAUUUUCCUUGUGACCCCUUCCCCCUUAGCUUCCUGGAUGCCAAAGGGGGAGCAGCUUCUCUCUGCCACACCCUUCCCUCAUAAUGCUCUUCCUUACCUUGGGCCCUGAGCAGUAGAAUCUGCCAUCUAUGGACUGAGACCUCUGAAGCUAUGAGCUCUAAAUAAACUUUUCCUCCUCUAAGUUGUCUUGUCAGGUAUUCUGGUUGCAGCAAUGCAAAGCUGAAUAAAACAUGAGCCCAGCUGGGUUCAAGUGCAUCCUGAUUGAACCUGAACCUCCCUCUGCAAUGACUCUAGCUGGUUUCCUUUUUCUUUUUCAUUUUAGAAUGUUUUAUUUUUGUUUGAUGUACAAUAAUUGUCCAUAUUUAUGGGGUACUGGGUGAUGGUCGAGUCAGGGUAUUUAGUGUCUCUAUCACCUCAAACAUUUCUCAUUUCUUUGUGGAGAUGUAACAGGGGUCCACUUUAUCCUUUAAAUAUAAAAGUUGCUGCUCAACCACUGGUGACUUAUUUUAAAACACAUUUUC